Molecule: non-coding RNA, 49 nt
Filed under: fish gut metagenome
Source: RNAcentral
GAGGUGGACAGAUUUGGCCGAUUGCAACCACAGAAAAAAAUGCUAAAGA